UCCCACUUUUUAUGGUUGAUUGCAUGUUUUGAAGGCUUUGAUUUCAGAUAACAAAAUCCAGAAUGGUAGAAGAUAGCCAAUUGUAUGUUGCAAGUAUAUAUACCUACUUUAUAUUAUAAAAUUUUAUUCUCAGUAUAGAAGUUAUGUGAAUUUGUAUUUAAAUUAAUAUGCUAUAAUUUAAAGCCUUCCAAAUCAAAUCUCUUUUAGAAUAAGGUACAGUGUACAUAUGUUGUAAAUAUUAUGUUGCAUUGUCUAAUAUGUCAAAUCACUAUUAAGCAUUUUGUUUAAUACUUUUCAAGCUUUUUGUGUUUUUUUAAAGUAUCUGUUAAAGAAUACUCUAUCAAAAUGAAUUUGAUAUGAAAACAAUAUUUUAUUUAUUUAAAUGUUUUAGAAUAUAAAAGCACAAGUAGAGAUAGAGGAGUGUAAGAAUUGCUUCUGAUGGUAAACAAGGGAUGAAAGAAUUAGAAAUCUUUUAACUUUUUUUUUAACAUGGUAAGAACCCUUAACUUGAGAUCUACCCUCUUAACAAAUUUUUAAGUGCACCAUACAGUAUUGUUAACUGUAAGCACAUUGUUGUAUAGUAGAUCUCUAGAAUCUAUCCAUCUUAUGUAACUGAAACUUUAUUCCCAUUGCUCAGUAAUUUCCCAUUUCUCCCUUCCCCUAGCCCCUGGCAGCCAUCAUUGUAGUCUCUCUUUCUAUGAGUAUUUGACUAGUUUGGAUAUCUCAUAUAAGUGGAAUCAGGUAGUUUUUGUCUUUCUAUGAUUGGCUUAUUUUACCUAAUAUAAUGUCCCCCAGGUUCAACCAUGUUAUCACAUAUGGCAAGAUCUCCUUCCUUAAAAAAGACCUACUUCCUUAAAAAAAAAAAAAAGUCCAGAUAAUAUUUCGUUGCAUGUAUAUACAUUUUCUUUAUCCAUUCAUCCAUCAGUGGACAUUUAGGUUGUUUCCCUAUCUUGGUAUCGUAAAUUGUACUGCAGUGAACAUGGGCAUGUAGUAUCUCUUUGAGAUGAUUCCAUUUCCUUUGGAUAUAUACCCAGAAGUGAGAUUUCUGGAUUGUAUGGUACUUCUAUUUUUAAUUUUUUGAGGAACCCUCAUACUGUUUUCCAUAGAAGCCACAUCAUUAUACAUUUCUACCAACAGUAUACAAGUAAGUGUUCCAGUUUCUGCACAUCCUUGAGAGCACUUGUUAUCUUUUGUUCUUUUGAUAAUAGCCAGCCUAACAGGUAUGAGGUGAUAUCUCAUUGUGGAUUGAUUUGCAUUUCCCCAAUAAUUACUGAAGUUGAGCAUCUGUACCUGUGGACCAUUUGUAUGCCACUUUUUAAUCUGGUUAUUUGGGUUUUUUGCCAUUGAAUUGUAGGAAUUUCUUAUAUAUUUUGGAUAUUAAACCUUUAUCAAAUACAUAGCUUAAAGAUUUAAAAAUAAGACCUGAAACUAUAAAACUCUUAGAAGACAUCUUAGUGAAAAAGCAUCAUCAUAUCUGCCCAGGCAAUGAUUUCUUGAAUAUGACACCAAAAACCAAGCAACGAAAGCAGUAAUAAUAGACAAAUGGGACUACAUCAAACUAAAAAGCUUAUGCACAGGAAGAGAAACAAUAAACAGAGUGAAAACACAACAUACAGAAUGGGAGAAAAUAUUUUUAAUGGUUUUAGAAUGAUCAGAUCUACACUCCAUUAUCAAAAACACUUAGUGCUAGUUGUAUUUCAAUUUCAAACUUUUCAAACCUUUGAAAAGUAAUAUGGUGCAUAUGCCACCUAUUAUUUUAAUAUAUCUAUGGGUUCCAGGGGGACUCUCUUAAUCAAACACAUUAAUAUUCUGCAAAUACUCACACUAAGUAGUUUAAAGGACUAUAAAUAGUUUCGUAUCAGUUUAGGCUAGAUUGCCCUCAAGUGAAUUAUAAAAUAAUUUUUAAAUUUUCAGAGCUUUUGGAAUUUCAGAUUUUCUGAUGAGGGAUUGUAAACCUAUAUUUUGAAAUCCUUAAAAUAAUGAUUCUUGAAUAAAUUAAAAAUAAUUUUUUAUUAAUUGCUAACCUAGCAAAUAAAAGAAAACUGAUCUUUAAAACUGAAAUGCAUGGCCACGCUGAGCCAGCUUUGGGCACUCUGCACACCAGGUGUCCUCUUCUUCCUGUUCUGGUUAGCUGUGGAGGCCCUGAAGACCCUGAACCCCAAGGCCAAGGUGGCCCAAGCCCAGGCGGAACUGGAGAUUAACAUCAGUGUGGCCCAGGGGCUGCAGGACAUGCUGAGCACCAACUUGGGGCCUAAGGGCACCAUGAAGAUGCUUGUUUCUGGUGCUGGAGACAUCAAGCUUACUGAAGAUGGCAAUAUGCUGCUUCGUGAAAUGCAAAUUCAACACCCAACAGCCUCCUUAAUAGCCAAAGUGGCAACAACCUAGGAUGACAUAACUGGUGAUGGUACCACUUCCAAUGUCUUAAUCAUUGGAGAGCUACUGAAACAAGGUGGAUCUCUACAUUUCUGAAAGUCUUCGUCCCAGAAUAAUAACAGAAGGACUUGAAGCUGCAAAGGAAAAGGCACGUCAGUUUUUGGAACAAGUGAAAGUAAGCAAAGAAAUGGACUGGGAAACACUUACAAAUGUGGCCAGAACAUCUCUACCUCCUAAAGUACAUGCUGAACUUCCUGAUACCUUAAUAGAAGCUGUAGUGGACUUCAUUUUCGUCAUUAAAAAACAAGGUGAACCUGUUGACCUUUUAAUGUUUGAGAUCAUGGAAAUGAAACAGAAAUCUGAAACUGAUACAAGCUUAAUCAGAGGUCUUGUUUAGACCAUGGGACACACAUCCUGAUAGGGGGGAAAAAAAAGAAGAAGAAGAUGCAUGCAUCCUCACGUGCACUGUGUCAUUAGAAUAUGAAAAAACAGAAGUGAAUUCUUUUUUUAUAAGAGUUCAGAAGAAGAGGAACUUGUAAAAGCUGAAAGAAAAUUCCUUGAAGAUAGAGUUAAAAAAUAAUAGAACUGAAAAAGAAAGUCUGUGUGAUUCAGAUAAAAGAUUCAUUCAAAAGGGAAUUGACCCCUUCAGAUGCUCUUGCAUAGAGUUAAAAGGAGAAAUAGGGAAAGGCUGACUCUUGCUUGUGGCGGAGUAGCUCUAAAUUCUUUUGAUGACCUAAAUCCUGAUUGUUUUGGACAUGCAGGACUUGUCUGUGAGUAUACAUUGAGAGAAGAGAAAUUCACCUUUAUUGAAAAAUAUAACAAUCCUCACUCCAUCAUGUUAUUGGUCAAAGGACCAAAUAAGCACACACUCCCUCAAAUCAAAGAUGCAAUAAGGGAUGGUUUGAGGGCUGUUAAAAAUGCUAUUGAUGAUGGCUUUGUAGUUCUAGGUGCUGGGGCAGUGGAGGUGGCAAUAACAAAAGCCUUGAUUAAAUAUAAGCCCAUUGUAAAGGGCAGGGCCCAGCUUGGAGUCCAAGCAUUUGCUGAUGCAUUGCUCAUUAUUCCCAAGGUUCUUGCUCAGAACUCUGGUUUUGACCUUCAGGAAACACAAGUUCAAGCAGAACAUUCAGAAUCAGGUCAGUUUGUGGGUGUGGACUUGAAUACAGGUGAGCCAGUGGUAGCAGCCGAUGUAGACAUAUGGGAUAACUAUUGUGUAAAGAAUAGCUUUACACAGUCCUGCAUUGUGAUUGCCACCAACAUUCUCCUGGUUGAUGAGAUCAUGAGAGCCAGAAUGUCUUCUUGAAAAGGCUGAAUUGAAGCUUCCCUUGUGUCAUCUGAAUCAUGAAGACUCUACAGAGUGGUCCUAAGAAGAGCUCUGGAAUUUUUGUCCAAGUUUCAAAUGAUUUUCAAAAGCAUUUUCUUUUCCCAUAUGAAAAAAAGAGAACACUGACACUAAAAUUCUGAAGUUCUGAAAUUAUAAUUACAGUAUUUUUUUAAAUUGCACUUCAGUGUACACACAUUAAGUAGGCCGUUUUUACCCAAUGAACAGGAUGUUUUGCUUUAGCUUCAGUGUUAUAAAAGUACCAAGUUAGAUAAGUAUAUGUUAUCUACCUUGUUAUUAAAUGUUACUUGAAAAAAAACAAAAAAAUAAAAUUCACCUUUAAUGAGUGGUUCUCUAUCCUUUUUAUCUUAGGUGAAGUUUUUUCAUUUAAAUGUUUUAUGAGUCUGUACUAAGUAUAUUAAUUACAUUUUAUAUUACUCCACUUAGGAUUGAAGGGUAGAACUUAGUUUAAGAAGAUAUUGAAAGCACAUGGUAGAAUCAUGUAAAUUUCUUGACUGAUGAAGUUUUAGAAGUUAGAAAUGUUUUCUUUGUGAAUAUUUACUUUUAGUCUUUAGAUUAGAACGACUCUUGUUUUUUUUUUCUAGCUUAUCUUUAGAUUGUUAAGUACUUGUUAUAGUUAUAUAGUACUUUGAAAUUUCAAAGUUGCUUGUGCCUUGAUAAGUACCUUGAGUUCUAAGGAUUUAGAGAUCUUUUCUACCUAAGAUUAUUGAUUUUUCACUUGAAAGAUAAAACAUUAUUUUAUUACCAUAUCACAAUAAAUGUUGGUGAAUGAAAGCACUGCUAGAAAUGUGCUGAAGAGUUCCAUUCUUCACUGAAUCACCCAGAGUAAUAGGAAACCCAAAUUUCAAAGCAUGAAAAGUUAAGUAUCUACUUACUAUAAAAUGUGCCUAAUACCAUGUAAUAGAAUGAAAUAAAUUGCCCAGUGAUAGUUUAUUAGAAUACAAAAAAAAAAAAUUUUUUUUUUUUUUUUUUGAAAUUAGCAUCGGUGUAUGGAAAGACUUUCUGGAAACUAAGAAUAAAAGGAAAUUCUCCUAACUCAAUGAAGUCCAUAUACCCAAAGUCUAUAGCAAACAUUAUAUUGAGAAAUUUUGAACACAAACCAAAUAGGAUUGGAAGUUAAAAAAAGAAAAAAAAAUUCACUACUUGCAUAUGAUACAGUCAUCUACGUAAAACCCAAAACCCAUCAGCAGAAUACUAAACCUGAGAAAAUUCAGCAAGAUUCUCUAAGACUAAAUUUGUUAAAUUAGGAGCGCCUGGAUGGCUCAGUUGGUUAAGCAUCUGCCUUUGGCUCAGGUCAUGAUCCCAGGGUCCUGGGAUCAAGCCCUAUGUCUAGCUCCCUGCUCAGUGGGGAGUCUGCUUCUCCGUCUGCCCCUUCCCCCACUCAUGCAUGCUCUCUCAAAUACAAUCUUUUAAGAAAUUAUAAAAAUUAAUGUUUUUUUAAUCUCAUUUUUUAAUUAUGCUAAUCACCAUACAUUACAUCAUUAGUUUUUGAUGUAGUGUUCCAUGAUUCAUUGUUUGCGUAUAACACCCAGUGCUCCAUUCAGUACGUGCCCUCUUUAAUACCCAUCACCAGGCUAACCCAUCCCCCCACCCCUGUCCCCUCUAGAACCCUCAGUUUGUUUCUCAGAGUCCAUAGUCUCUCAUGGUUCGUCUCCUGCUCCAAUUUCCCCCCUUCAUUUUUCCCUUCCUGAUAUCUUCUCUUUUUUUAAUAUAUAUUAUAAAAAAUUAAUAUGUUUUUAUACCCAGAGGUCAGCAGCCUUUUUUAUAAAGAACCAGAUAAUAUUUUCAGCUUGUGGGCCAUAUGGUACCUGACUCAACUAAACUCUACCAAUAUAGCUGCUUUCAAACUAUGAAUUAUGUCACCAAAUGGGUGUGACUAUGUUCCAGUAAAACUUUAUUUACAAAAAAAUAUGGCAAACUGGAAUUAGCUUGUGAGCCAUAGAUUUCUGACCCCUGCUAUAUACCAUUAGUAACCCACUUAGAAAAUAGCAGUGCUGUGAAUUGUGUAAGACUGUUGAAUCACAGACCUGUACCUCUAAAACAAAUAAUACAUUAUAUGUUAAAAAAAAAAAGAAGAAGAAGAAGAAGAUAGCAGGAAGGGAAGAAUGAAGGGGGGGAAAUCGGAGGGGGAGAUGAAACAUGAGAGCCUAUGGACUCUGAGAAACAAACUGAGGGUUCUAGAGGGGACAGGGGUGGGGGGAUGGGUUAGCCUGGUGAUGGGUAUUAAAGAGGGCACAUUCUGCAUGGAGCACUGGGUGUUAUACGCAAACAGUGAAUCAUGGAACACUACAUCAACUAAUAAUGGGGGCGCCUGGGUGGCUCAGUUGGUUAAGCGACUGCCUUCGGCUCAGGUCAUGAUCCUGGAGUCCCUGGAUCGAGUCCCGCAUCGGGCUCCCUGCUCAGCGGGGAGUCUGCUUCUCCCUCUGACCCUCCUCCCUCUCAUGCUCUCUGUCUCUCAUUCUCUCUCUCUCUGUCAAAUAAAUAAAUAAAAUCUUUAAAAAAAAAAAAAGAAAAAUAUUUCAUUAAAAAAAAACUAAUAAUGUAUGGUGAUUAACAUAUAAUAAAAAAAAUAGUAUAACAAAGAUUAACCUGAUUAGGAAUGCAUAAAACCUUCAUGGGAAAUAACUAACUUUAUAAAGACAAAAGAUUAUCAUGUACAAUAUGCCUUAACCUAGUGAUGCCUGUUUCUCUAAAUCUAUCAUGUCACUGUCUCCUAUUAAAAAUUCUAUCCUGACUUUUUGUGUGUGUGUGUGAGAAACUUCACAAACUCAUUCUAAAAUUAACAUUUACCAAUAAAGGUCCAAGAUUAAGUCACUUUCAAUAAAGAAGAGGAAGGAAGUACUGGACCUAUUAGACAGUGAGGAUUACUACGAAGUUAUAAUAUUGAAAACAGUAUGAUGCUAGCAAAAGAAAGACCAAAUACACUGGAAUAAAUUAAUGACCUCAAAAAAAAAAAAAAAAACACCUCAUGUAUAUAUGAAAACUUGAUUAAGUGGCACCCCUAGGGAGUAAGAAACAGAUUGCUUAAAGCAGAUAGGUGCCUAGAUUUUAUUAGGAGAGCUAGCUAUUUGUAGAAAAAAACAGGAUCACUACAUUACACAUGAUAAACUCAAAAAAUAUAAAUUUGGGGGCACCUGGGUGGCUCAUUCUGUUGAGCAUCCACAUCUAGGUUUCAGCUCAGGUCAUGAUCUUAGAGGAUGAGCCCUGCAUUGGGCUGCUUACUCAGCAGGGAGUCCGCUUGAGGAUUCUCUCCCUCUGCUCCUCUCCCACUUGUGUGUGCCCUCCUGCACUCUAAAAUAAAUAGAUAAAUCUUUAAAAAAAAAAAAAAAAAGGAAACGUAAAACGUCAAAGCUCAUAAGAAAUUUCAGAGAAUAUCUGUAUUUUAGGAACAGAGAACAUAAUGUGAAAAUUAGUGGGUUUGAUUACAUCAAAAUUAAGUAUUUCUGUUAUAGGAACCAUACAUUGAAGUGAAAGGUCAAAUGUCAGUUUUUUAAUAUCUAAAACCUACAUGAGAAUAAUACUUAUAAUGUAGAAAGAACUGCUAUACAGUAACAGAAACAAAGCAGAAAUCUAAAAAAUAAAUGAAAGAGGGGCACCUGGCUGACUCAGUCCGUUAAGAGUCUGCCUCUUGGUUUUGGCUCAGGUCAUGAUCUCAGGGUGGUGAGAUUGAGCCCAGAAUGGGGCUCCAUGCUCGGUGUGGAGCCUGCUUAAGAUUCUCACUGUCCCUCUCUCUCUGCCCCUCCCCCCCCAAAAAAAAGGAAAGAGAAAAAUGAAUGGUGGUAUGCUGUAGAAUACCAAUGCAGCAAGUAGAAGUAACAAUGGUGAGAUCUUUAAAACUGGAUACGGUUAAAAUACACAGUUGAGAGAAAAGAAAAAACAAAGUGAGAUUUUUAAUUCAGUACUAUUUAUGUAAAUUUAAAACAACACAUUACAUGAAAAUAUAUUUAAGAAUGUAACGAAAGCACUUAGAGUAGAGGAAAAUAGUACAGAUUAGAAAAAUAAAAGUUUAAAGAAUUAUCACUUCUUUUAUUUAUAUGUCUAUAAGUAAAGUAAGCAUUUUUUCUGGAUGAAUGCCAGCUUUAAAAAGUGGAAUUCUAUGUAUUUAUUGAAGUCACAUUAUAAGCACUUGUAACUUAGACAAAUUUAACUCCAGCAGAGGGCUUGUAAUCUUAGGCCCUCAAGAAAGAAAUUUCAAGAUAUUAAUAUAUAGAACAUUCUGGGGGCGCCUAGGUGGCUCAGUCAUUAAGCGUCUGCCUUUGGCUCAGGUCAUGAUCCCAAGGUCCUGGGAUUGAGCCCUGCAUCAGGCUCCCUGCUCAGCGGGAGCCUGCUUCUCCCUCUCCCACUCCCCCUGCUUGUUGUUCCCUCUCUUGCUGUGUCUCUCUCUGUCAAAUAAAUAAAUAAAAUCUUUAAAAAUAUAUAUAUAUAGAGAGAGAGAGAACAUUCUGUUUUAUAAACUCAAAAUUGCUAUUUUAUCUGUCAGGAUAUAACCCCUGGUCCUCAACAUGGUGUGAAGAUACUAGUAGUUCUAAUAAACAUCACUAACCUGGGAUUUGUCCAGUGCUCAUAUUGCUUACUACAUACCCAGUUCCUACAUAGAGUAUCAAAAGUUGAAGGAAAAACAUUACAAGUUGUAAUAUGGUGAUAGAAGAAAGAAUCACUGUUGAGUUUGUUAAAAAUGGUUUCCUAGGCCCCAUCACCAGAAUUUCUAAUUUGGUAGCACUGGGUGGAGUGGAGCUCCUGAAUUAAUGGUUCUAGUAAGUUCACAGGUGAUUCUAAUGCUUUUGGUCUUAGAAUCACAUUUUGAGACAUUUUGUAGAUAAUGUUUCUUAAUAUUUACUGUGUGAACCACCAUAGGAUGAACAGAAUAUAAAGAUAAAUCUUUAUGUUGGGCCCAGGAAUCUGCAUUUUUAGGUGCCGGUUAUGAACAAGUAGGCAUAUGUUUCCUGAAACAGAAGAAUGUCCUGGGCCCAGUUUUAUCAGAAUUGAGACCAUAUAUCCUCAGCUAAAACUAAAUUUUUGUGCUACUUGAUUGAGAAGAAAUGCUAAAUAUUAAAAAAUGUUAAGGGUAAAAUACAAUUUUGUUUAAAACAUGUAGUCCUGUAGUUACAAAAAUGCACAUACCCUGAAACAACUCAAAAUCUGUAUUAGAAAUCUAAAGCUACCAAAAAAAUAUUCAAGAGUUUUCUGUCUGGAUUUUUCUGCUAGAUACCGUGUGAUUUGAAAUUUACGUCUUUAUAUUCAUGUUAUAUUUUUAAAAUACUCAAGUGCUUAGUUUUUUCAGAACUUGCAUUUCUAAUCUAGUUUUUCUGAUUUCUUACAACCUCUCAAAACAUAGUGUUUUGCAGUAAUACCUUAGAAAAGUCUUAACCUGAGGUUUUCUGUUCUGUUAAAUUUGACAUGUUGGCAUCAGGUACAUAGUGUAUUCAGUGAGAGAUAUAUGCCUAGUUAAAUCUUGUAUUUCUAAAAAAAUAUUUUAAAGUAGAAUAAUUGUAAAAGCAUAGCAGUUCCUAAAGAGACAAGAAACCUAAUCAAUAGAUUAUAUCCCUUACUUUCCAGAGUUUGUUGAAUGUUAACAAUUUAUCCCUUAGCCAUAGCUUCUGAGACACAACUCUAUUAAAUUUUGACUAAGUUGUACAAUUAAUUUUUUUCUGUAUGGUUUUAUUUAGGUAUAGUUAUUUCAAAGAAUGGCUUUAGAUUAUUAAUAUUACAGAAAAAACCCUAAAUUCCUCUUGUGGGAGUAAGCACAUUCAGACAUUUUCAUUAAUUCAAAAAUAUUGACAAAAGACAUGUGAUUAAGUAUCUUGUCAAUAAAAGUUAAGGGUCAUUGAUGAUUGUGAAAAGGCAGUUUUCAUGGGCUAGAAAACAUCCAAAGAAGAAUCCAAAAUUAACUACAUAAGGCAUGAGAGGCCAAAAAUAAUCAAAUGGAAAACUAAGCUAGUAGUUCUUACUCAUACAUUGUCUCUCUGCCAUCUGUGUUGUUCCGAUUAACAAAAUACCAAAUUGGUGACCAAAACACUAAGUAUAAACUUAAUCUGGUGCCAUAUUAGUUUUUUGUUAUUUGAAUAUAUACCUCCUUUCCUAGGUAUUUGUCACCUAAAGAUAGGCAUCAUAAUAAUGUUAAAAAGAAGUUCCUGUGUGCUAUUUACCAAAUAAACUGCUUUUUUCUGGUUAUUUUAACUAUCCAAACUCCAAAUCCUUUUUAGAAAUGCUUGUGCCUACACAUAAGCACACUCCCAAUGACUGUACUUUGAGGUUUCUCAUUUUAAUACUCAUUAAGAUCCUGAGUUUAUAUGCACACUCCUUUGAAAUGCUUAAAAUGCACAUGGAUUAAAUAAAUCUUUCCUUCCGCUAGACACUGUACCAACUUUCUGUUGUGGAAAGAUAAUUUCAAUCUAGUUACCCGUACCACGUCUCCCAAGUUUUGCCAAAAGCAUGGUCACAGUUGAGUUCAGUAACUAGUGUUAGAUUUGAAAUUUAAAAGCUGUAUCCAGAUUUAAUUGAAGUUAUGAAAUUUAGACAGUAUAUUUUAUGCAUAAAUGAAUAUAAUUUAAGUUUAUGAUUUUUAUAUAGAUACUUGAUAUGUACAGGUACUCACAAAUAAUUAUUGAAUAUUUUCUUUCUUUUUUUCUUUUUGUUCCCUGGUUUGAUCCAAAAAGGAUUUGAGCAAUUUGCAGUAAUACACAUGAGUCAAGGUUAACUAUAUGAAUAGAUACAGAAAUCACUCAAAUGUAAAAUAAAUUUGGUCACUGUAAGGUGAAACCAGAGAAGUUAGCUGGCAGGAGCAAGUAAGGGCUUUUGAAGUUAUCAAAAUUGAUCUGCAAAUGUAUGGACUUGUUUUGGGUCCUGAUUCAAAUCAACCAACUGGGGAGAAAAGAUACUUUUUUUUUUUUUAAUUUUUUUAUGGUUAUAUUAAUCACCAUACAUUACAUCAUUAGUUUUUUGUUUUGUUUUUUUUAAAGAUUUUAUUAUUUGACAGAGAGAGACACAGCGAGAGAGGAAACACAAGCAGGGGGAGGGGGAGAGGGAGAGGGAGAAGGAGGCUUCCCACAGAGCAGGGAGCCCGAUGUGGGACUCGAUCCCAGGACUCCAGGAUCAUGACCUGAGCCGAAGGCAGUCGCUUAACCGACUGAGCCACCCAGGCGCCCACAUCAUUAGUUUUUGAUGUAGCGUUCCAUGAUUCGUUGUUUGUGCAUAACACCCAGUGCUCCAUGCAGAACGUGCCCUCAUUAAUACCCAUCACCAGGCUAACCCAUCCUCCCACCCCCCUCCCCUCUAGAACCCUCAGCCUGUUUUUCAGAGUCCAUCGUCUCUCAUGGUUCAUCUCCCCCUCCGAUUUCCCCCCCUUCAUUCUUCCCCUCCUGCUAUCUUCUUUUUUUUUUUUUUCUUAACAUAUAUUGCAUUAUUUGUUUCAGAGGUACAGAUCUGUGAUUCAACAGUCUUGCACAAUUCACAGCACUCACCAUAGCAGAUACACUCCCCGGUGUCUAUCACCCAGCCACCCCAUCCCUCCCACCCACACCACUCCAGCAACCCUCAGUUUGUUUCCUGAGAUUAAGAAUUCCUCAUAUCAGUGAGGUCAUAUGAUACAUGUCUUUCUCUGAUUGACUUGUUUCGCUCAGCAUAACACCCUCCAGUUCCAUCCACGUCGUAGCAAAUGGCAAGAUCUCAUUCCUUUUGAUGUCUGCAUAAUAUUCCAUUGUGUGUAUGUGUGUGUGUGUGUGUGUGUAUAUAUAUAUAUAUAUAUCACAUCUUCUUUAUCCAUUCAUCUGUCGAUGGACAUCUUGGCUCUUUCCACAGUUUGGCUAUUGUGGACAUUGCUGCUAUAAACAUCGGGGUGCAUGUACCCCUUCGGAUCCCUACAUUUGUAUCUUUGGGGUAAAUACCCAGUAGUGCAAUUGCUGGACCAUUAUGGUAGCUCUAUUUUCAACUUUUUGAGGAACCUCCAUACUGUUUUCCAGAGUGGCUGCACCAGCUUGCAUUCCCACCAACAGUGUAGGAGGGUUCCCCUUUCUCCACAUCUCUGCCAACAUCUGUCAUUUCCUGACUUGUUAAUUUUAGCCAUUCUGACUUGUGUGAGGUGGUAUCUCAUUGAGGUUUUGAUUUGGAUUUCCCUGAUGCCGAGCGAUGUUGAACACUUUUUCAUGUGUCUGUUGGCCAUUUGGAUGUCUUCUUUGGAAAAAGGUCUGUUCAUGUCUUCUGCCCAUUUCUUGCUUGGAUUCUUUGUUCUUUGGAGGUUGAGUUUGAUAAGUUCUUUAUAGAUUUUGGAUACUAGCCCUUUAUCUGAUAUGUCAUUUGCAAGUAUCUUCUCCCAUUCUGUCAGUUGUCUUUUGGUUUUGUUGACUGUUUCCUUUGCUGUGCAAAACUUUUUAUCUUGAUGAGGUCCCAAUAGUUCAUUUUUGCUCUUGCUUCUCUUGCCUUUGGCAAUGUUUCUAGGAAGAAGUUGUUGCAGUGAGGUCAAAGAGAUUGCUGCCUGUGUUCUCCUCUAGGAUUUUGAUGAACUCCUGUCUCACAUUUUGUCUUUCCUCCAUUUUGAGUCUAUUUUUGUGUGAGGUGUAAGGAGAUGCUCCAGUUUCAUUCUUCUGCAUGUGGCUGUCCAAUUUUUCCAACAUCUGUUGAAGAGACUGUUUUUUUCCAUGGGACAUUCUUUCCUGCUUUGUCAAAGAUUAGUUGACCAUAGAGUUGAGGGUCCAUUUCUGGGCUCUCUAUUCUAUUCCAUUGAUCUCUGUGUCUGUUUUUGUGCCAGUACCAUACUGUCUUGAUGACAGCUUUGUAAUAGAGCUGGAAGUCCGGAAUUGUGAUGCCGCCAGCUUUGCUUUUCUUUUUCAACAUUCUUCUGGCUCUUCAGGGUCUUUUCUGGUUCCAUACAAAUUUUUGGAUUAUUUGUUCCAUUUCUUUGAAAAAAGUGGAUGGUAUUUUGAUGGGGAUUGCAUUGAAUGUGUAGAUUGCUCUAGGUAGCAUUGACAUCUUCACAAUAUUUGUUCUUCCAAUCCAUGAGCAUGGAACGUUUUUCCAUUUCUUUGUGUCUUCCUCAAUUUCUUUCAUGAGUAUUUUAUAGUUUUCUGAGUACAGAUCCUUUGCCUCUUUGGUUAGAUUUAUUCCUAGGUAUCUUAUGGUUUCGGGUGUAAUUGUAAAUGGGAUCGACUCCUUAAUUUGUCUUUCUUCUGUCUUGUUGUUUGUGUAUAGAAAUGCCACUGAUUUCUGUGCACUGAUUUUAUAUCCUGCCACUUUACUGAAUUCCUUUAUGAGUUCUAGCAGUUUGGGGGUGGAGUCUUUUGGGUUUUCCACAUAAAGCAUAUCAUCUGCAAAAAGUGAGACUUUCACUUCUUCUUUGCCGAUUCGGAUGCCUUUUAUUUCCUUUUGUUGUCUGAUUGCUGAGGCUAGGACUUCUAGUUCUAUGUUGAACAGCAGUGGUGAUAGUGGACAUCCCUGCCGUGUUCCUGACCUUAGGGGGAAAGCUCUCAGUUUUUCCCCAUUGAGAAUGAUGUUCGCUGUAGGUUUUUCAUAGAUGGCUUUUAUGAUAUUGAGGUAUGUACCCUCUAUCCCUAUACUCUGAAGAGUUUUAAUCAAGAAAGGAUGUUGUACUUUGUCAAAUGCUUUUUUUGCAUCUAUGGAGAGGAUCAUAUGAUUCUUGUUCUUUCGUUUAUUGUAUCACGUUGAUUGAUUUGCGGAUGUUGAACCAACCUUGCAGCCCAGGGAUAAAUCCCACUUGGUCGUGGUGAAUAAUCCUUUUAAUGUACUCUUGGAUCCUUUUGUCUAGUGUUUUGGGGAGAAUUUUUGCAUCCAUGUUCGUCGGGGAUAUUGGUCUGUAAUUCUCCUUUUUGAUGGUGUCUUUGUCUGGUUUUGGGAUCAAGGUAGUGGUGGCCUCAUAAAACGAGUUUGGAAGUUUUCCUUCCAUUUCUAUUUUUUGAAACAGUUUCGGAAGAAUAGGUAUUAAUUCUUCUUUAAAUGUUUGGUAGAAUUCCCCUGGGAAGCCAUCUGGCCCUGGGCUUUUGUUUUUUGGGAGAUUUUUGAUGACUGCUUCAAUUUCCUUAGUGGUUAUAGGUCUGUUCAGGUUUUCUAUUUCUUCCUGGUUCAGUUUUGGUAGUUGAUACAUCUCUAGGAAUGCAUCCAUUCCUUCCAGAUUAUCUAAUUUGCUGGCAUAGAGUUGCUCAUAAUAUGUUCUUAUAAUUGUUUGUAUUUCUUUGGUGUUGGUUGUGAUCUCUCCUCUUUCAUUCAUGAUUUUGUUGAUUUGGGUCAUUUCUCUUUUCUUUUUGAUAAGUAGGAUGCUCUUUAGCCUCCAUGUAUUUGAGUUCUUUCUGACUUUCCUCUUGUGAUUGAGUUCUAGUUUCAAAGCAUUGUGGUCUGAAAAUAGGCAGGGAAUGAUCCCAGUCUUUUGGUACCGGUUGAGACCUGAUUUAUGACCUAGGAUGUGAUCUAUUCUGGAGAAUAGAGAAGAAUGUAUAUUCCGUUGCUUUGGGAUGGAAUGUUCUGAAUAUGUCUGUGAAGUCCAUUUGGUCCAGUGUGUCAUUUAAAGUCUUUAUUUCCUUGUUGAUCUUUUGCUUAGAUGAUCUGUCCAUUUCAGUGAGGGGGGUGUUAAAGUCCCCCACUUUUAUUGUAUUGUUGUCAAUGUGUUUCUUUGCUUUUGUUAUUAAUUGCCUUAUAUAAUUGGCUGCUCCCAUGUUAGGGGCAUAGGUAUUUACAAUUGUUAGAUCUUCUUGUUGGGUAGACCCUUUAAGUAGGUUAUAGUAUCCUUCCUCAUCUCUUAUUACAGUCUUUGGUUUAAAAUCUAAUUUGUCUGAUAUAAGGAUUGCCACCCCAGCUUUCUUUUGGUGUCCAUUAGCAUGGUAAAUCGUUUUCCAUGCCCUCACUUUCAAUCUGGGGGUGUCUUUGGGUCUAUAAUGAGUCUCUUGCAGACAGCGUAUCGAUGGGUCUUGUUUUUUAAUCCAAUCUGAUAGCCUGUGUCUUUUGAUUGGGGCAUUUAGCCCAUUUACAUUCAGGGUAACUAUUGAAAGAUAGGAAUUUAGUGCCAUUGUAUUGCCUGUAAGGUGACUGUUACUGUAUAUUGUCUGUGUUCCUUUCUGGUCUAUGUUGCUUUUAGGGUCUCUCUUUGCUUAGAGGAUCCCUUUCAGUAUUUCUUGUAGGGCUGGUUUUGUGUUUGCAAAUUCUUUUAGUUUUUGUUUGUCCUGGAAGCUUUUUAUCUCUCCUUCUAUUUUCAAUGACAGCCUAGCUGGAUAUAGUAUUCUUGGCUGCAUAUUUUUCAUUUAGUGCUCUGAAUAUAUCAUGCCAGUCCUUUCUGGCCUGCCAGGUCUCUGUGGAUAGGUCUUUUGCCAAUCUAAUGUUUCUACCAUUGUAGGUUACAUAUCUCUUUUCCCGAGCUCCUUUCAGGAUUUUCUCUUUGUCUAUGAGACUCGUAAGUUUUACUAUUAGGUGUUGACCUAUUUUUAUUGAUUUUGAGAGGGGUUCUCUGUGCAUCCUGGAUUUUGAGGCCUGUUUCCUUCCCAAAUUAGGGAAGUUCUCUGCUGUAAUUUGCUCCAAUAUACCUUCUGGCCCUCUCUCUCUUUCUUCUUCUUCUGGGAUCCCAAUUAUUCUAAUACUGUUUCGUCUUACGGUAUCACUUAUCUCUCGAAUUCUGCCCUUGUGAUCCAGUAGUUGUUUAUCUCUCUUUUUCUCAGCUUCUUUAUUUUCCAUCAUUUGGUCUUCUAUAUCACUGAUUCUCUCUUCUGCCUCAUUUAUCCUAGCAGUUAGCGCCCCCAUUUUUGAUUGCACCUCAUUAAUAGCCUUUUUGAUUUCGACUUGGUUAGAUUUUAGUUCUUUUAUUUCUCCAGAAAGGGUUUCUCUUAAUAAUUUCCAUGCUUUUUUCAGGCCCAGCUAGUAUCUUUAAAGUGAUGAUUCUGAACUCUACAUCCAACAUCAUACUAAUGUCCGUAUUGAGUAGGUCCCUGGCAGUCGGUACUACCUCUUGUUCUUUUUGUUGAGUGAUUUUUUUCCGUCUUGUCAUUUUGUCCAGAGGAGAAUAGAUUAAUGAAUGAGAGAACAAAAUGCUAACAGGGAACAACGUCCUCAGAAAAUAUACUCUAAACAAAUCAGAAAAGACCUGAAGCCAGGGGAAAAUAAAGGGAAAGAAAGAAAAAAGAAAAAGAAAAAGAUAAAAACAAACAAAAACCAAAAAAAAAAAAAACACAGUAUGAUCAAAUAUGAUCAGGCUGGUGCAUAGACCAGUGCCACAUACUAGAUUUGGGGUAUAUUUUGGUCUGUUAGAAGAAGUGCCUCCCAGAAUUUUAAAUAAAGAAAAACUUAUGUAUGUACAAAAAUAAGGGUUGAUAUGAUGAAGGGAUGGAAUAUGACUGUAAAGAUGAAAAUUAUAAAAAAUUUUAUAAAAGGAAUUGAUACGAAGUUGUUUGAAAAAAGAAAGAAGAGGAUUUAAAAAAACAAAAGAAAGGGGGAGAAUGUGAUCAGGCAGGAGAGUAGAACAAAACCAUACACUAGAGAUUUAGGGUAUUUUUGAUCUGUUAGAAGAAACUAUCUCAAAAUUGGAAAGAGAGAACAACUUAUAUAUAUAUAUGCCAAAAAUAAGGGCAACUACUAUGAAGGGAUAGAAUAUGACUCUAAAAAUGAAAAAUAAAAAUUUUUUUCAGAAAAGGGAUUGAUAAGAUGUUGGUUGAAAAAGGGAAAAAGAUGGGGCGCCUGGGUGGCUCAGUCAUUAAGUGUCUGCCUUUGGCUCAGGUCAUGAUCCCAGGGUCCUGGGAUCGAGCCCCACAUCGGGCUCCCUGCUCCGCGGGAAGCCUGCUUCUCCCUCCCCCCCUCCCCCUGCUUGUGUUCCCUCUCUUGCUGUGUCUCUCUCUGUCAAAUAAAUAAAUAAAAUCUUUAAAAAAAGAAAAAGGGAAAAAGAAAAAUUCAAAAAAAAAGAGUUAAAGAAAAAAUUAACUUUGAAAGACUAAAGGAUCAUGGUAAAAAAGCGAUGGAUUCUAUGUGCAUUAUUCCCCUAGCGCUGGAGUUCUGUCGUUCUCAUUGAUUGGUAAACAUGGUCUUGGCUGGCUAUUCUCCCUGAUCUUCUCGGGGAGGGGCCUGUUGCCGUGGUUCCCAAAUGUCUUUGCCCGAGGCGAAAUUGCCCCGCCCUUGCCCGAUCUGGGCUAAGUAAUCUGUUCGGGUUUGCUCUCGGGAGCUUUUGUUCCCUGCAAGCUUUCCAUGCACUUUUGGAGGCCGAGAGUGAAAAUGGCGGUCUCCGAAUCUCCACCCCGGAGGAGCCAAGAACUUGGGGCCCCGCUCCUCAGUGCGUCCCCAGAGAAAAGCAGUCGAUCAAUCCCGUCUCCCUGCUCUGGCCGCACUCCGUGCUCACCCAGCCUGUGACCGAGCGUUUCUAUCUCUGACACCCAACUCAGUGUGGAGUCUCCAAACCCAGCAGAUCCCUGCAGUGCGCUCCCGCGCUGCUCCUCCCGGGGGAGGAAGGGGAGUCUCCCCGGAUCUGCCGCUUAUUGGGUCCCUGCUGGAGGAGCAGUGGCCCGACUGUGCCGUGGAUCACCGUUUAUGGCAACCCCAAGCUGAGAGCCCGCGCCUCGGCUGCGUCACUGCAGCCGGCUUCCCCACUCUGAUACCUGGGAGCUCUGCCACACUCAGGCACCCCUGGUCUUCCUGUGACCCCGAGGGUCCUGAGACCAGUGUCCCACGAGGGUUCCACCCCCUGCUUAGCCACUGGAGCGACGUCCCUUAGCAGAGCCGACUUCUAAAAGUUCCGAUCUUGUGGUCCACGGCUCUAUCACUUGCCAGAAGCAGCUGAUGGAGGCCCCCUCCCCCGCCGUCUAUCCUCCCGAAUAUCACCUCAGAUUCACUUCUCUGCACGUCCUACCUUCCAGAAAGUGGUCGCUUUUCUGUUCAGAGAGUUGUUGCUAUUCUUUUCUUCGACCUCCUGUUGAGUUCAUAGUUGUUCAGAAUGGUUUGAUCCCUAUCCAGCUGAAUUCCUGAGACCAGACGAAAUCCAGGUCUCUUACUCCUCCGCCAUCUUGCUCCACCGAGAAAAGAUACUUUUAAGACAAUUGGUGAAAAAAGUGAACAUGAACAGAGUAUUCAGUUGGAUCUGACAGUGGUAUCAGAAAGGAUCUCUUACCUUUUAGGGAUAUAUACUGUAAUUUUUUGUUUGUUUCAAGUUUUUAUUUAAAUUCCAGUUAUCAUAAAGCGUAAUAUUAGUUUCAGGAGUAGAAAUCAGAGAUUAAUCACUUACAUAUAACACCCAGUGCUCAUCACAAGUGCCCUGCUUAAUACCCAUCACCCAUUUAGCCCAUCCUGCCGCUCACCUU
Mirounga angustirostris (Northern elephant seal) is the source of this 17982-nucleotide RNA transcript. It is a transcript of the gene named T-complex protein 1 subunit zeta-like, with no coding region annotated. Lineage: Eukaryota; Metazoa; Chordata; Mammalia; Carnivora; Phocidae. The transcript is spliced from 2 exons. The record is from RefSeq and is a predicted model, not a curated record.